This 465-nucleotide ribosomal RNA is filed under the name uncultured bacterium. RNAcentral's name for it is "partial 16S ribosomal RNA". It matches the Rfam family "Bacterial small subunit ribosomal RNA", at positions 338 to 795 of the family's 1533-position model. The record is from RNAcentral.
CCUACGGGGAGCAGCAGUAGGGAAUCUUCCACAAUGGGCGAAAGCCUGAUGGAGCAACGCCGCGUGGGUGAAGAAGGUCUUCGGAUCGUAAAACCCUGUUGUUAGAGAAGAAAGUGCGUGAGAGUAACUGUUCACGUUUCGACGGUAUCUAACCAGACAGCCACGGCUAACUACGUGCCAGCAGCCGCGGUAAUACGUAGGUGGCAAGCGUUAUCCGGAUUUAUUGGGCGUAAAGGGAACGCAGGCGGUCUUUUAAGUCUGAUGUGAAAGCCUUCGGCUUAACCGGAGUAGUGCAUUGGAAACUGGGAGACUGGAGUGCAGAAGAGGAGAGUGGAACUCCAUGUGUAGCGGUGAAAUGCGUAGAUAUAUGGAAGAACACCAGUGGCGAAAGCGGCUCUCUGGUCUGUAACUGACGCUGAGGUUCGAAAGCGUGGGUAGCAAACAGGAUUAGAUACCCGGGUAGUC